RNAcentral lists this ribosomal RNA (487 nucleotides) under uncultured bacterium. Its description in RNAcentral is "bacterial SSU rRNA". It matches the Rfam family "Bacterial small subunit ribosomal RNA", at positions 501 to 987 of the family's 1533-position model. The record is from RNAcentral.
CUACGUGCCAGCAGCCGCGGUAAUACGGAGGGUGCGAGCGUUAAUCGGAAUAACUGGGCGUAAAGGGCACGCAGGCGGUUAUUUAAGUGAGGUGUGAAAGCCCCGGGCUUAACCUGGGAAUUGCAUUUCGGACUGGGUAACUAGAGUACUUUAGGGAGGGGUAGAAUUCCACGUGUAGCGGUGAAAUGCGUAGAGAUGUGGAGGAAUACCGAUGGCGAAGGCAGCCUCCUGGGAUAACACUGACGUUCAUGCUCGAAAGCGUGGGUAGCAAACAGGAUUAGAUACCCUGGUAGUCCACGCCCUAAACGAUGUCAAUUAGCUGUUGGGCAACUUGAUUGCUUAGUAGCGUAGCUAACGCGUGAAAUUGACCGCCUGGGGAGUACGGUCGCAAGAUUAAAACUCAAAGGAAUUGACGGGGACCCGCACAAGCGGUGGAUGAUGUGGAUUAAUUCGAUGCAACGCGAAGAACCUUACCUGGUCUUGACAU